CUCUAAAUGAUUUUGAUUGUUGCUCAGAAAGCCUUUCAUAUAUUGUACGGUGGCUUUCUAGCAAUAAUCAUGACCACAAAAGAG
Acyrthosiphon pisum (pea aphid) is the source of this 84-nucleotide non-coding RNA. NCBI's taxonomy places the organism in Eukaryota, Metazoa, Arthropoda, Insecta, Hemiptera, Aphididae. The record is from Rfam.